RNAcentral lists this ribosomal RNA (224 nucleotides) under uncultured bacterium. RNAcentral's name for it is "partial 16S ribosomal RNA". It matches the Rfam family "Bacterial small subunit ribosomal RNA", at positions 328 to 539 of the family's 1533-position model. The record is from RNAcentral.
ACGCUCGACACCUACGGGAGGGCAGCAGUAGGGAAUCUUCCACAAUGGGCGCAAGCCUGAUGGAGCAACACCGCGUGAGUGAAGAAGGGUUUCGGCUCGUAAAGCUCUGUUGUUGGAGAAGAACGUGCGUGAGAGUAACUGUUCACGCAGUGACGGUAUCCAACCAGAAAGUCACGGCUAACUACGUGCUAGCAGCCGCGGUAAUCUGAGCGGGCUGGCAAGGC